AGAGUUUGAUCCUGGCUCAGGAUGAACGCUAGCGGGAGGCUUAMYMCWUGCAAGUCGAGGGGCAGCAGGUCCGAACCUAGUUUGGAUGCUGGCGACCGGCGCACGGGUGAGUAACGCGUACACGACCUACCUUUAGGAGGGGGAUAGCCCUGGGAAACUGGGAUUAAUACCGCAUAAUAUCCUUCGGGAUUAAAGCUGAGGCGCCUAAAGAUGGGUGUGCGUAUGAUUAGCUAGUUGGUGAGGUAACGGCUCACCAAGGCGACGAUCAUUAGGGGGCGUGAGAGCGUGGCCCCCCACACGGGUACUGAGACACGGACCCGACUCCUACGGGAGGCAGCAGUAAGGAAUAUUGGUCAAUGGGCGCAAGCCUGAACCAGCUAUCCCGCGUGCAGGAUGACGGCCCUAUGGGUUGUAAACUGCUUUUGGUAGGGAAGAAACACAUUUAUUUAUAGAUGUUUGACGGUACCUACAGAAUAAGCACCGGCUAACUCCGUGCCAGCAGCCGCGGUAAUACGGAGGGUGCAAGCGUUAUCCGGAAUCACUGGGUUUAAAGGGUGCGUAGGCGGCUUUUUAAGUCAGAGGUGAAAGCCCACCGCUUAACGGUGGAAUUGCCUUUGAUACUGAAGAGCUUGAAUCAGGUUGAGGUGAGCGGAAUGUGGCGUGUAGCGGUGAAAUGCUUAGAUAUGCCAUAGAACACCAAUUGCGAAGGCAGCUCACUGGACCUGUAUU
This 729-nucleotide ribosomal RNA is filed under the name uncultured Bacteroidota bacterium. Its description in RNAcentral is "bacterial SSU rRNA". It matches the Rfam family "Bacterial small subunit ribosomal RNA", at positions 8 to 741 of the family's 1533-position model. Lineage: Bacteria; Pseudomonadati; Bacteroidota. The record is from RNAcentral.